UCAUUGUCAUUAAUUGCCAUUCCUAACUUAAUUUUUGUUCACUGAUUGUUGAGUCCCCACAGUUGCCAUCUCAUCACUUUUCCUUUUAGCUCCAGCAAACCUUGACCUUCUAGGCACAAACAAGGAUGAAUCACCAACAAUAACAUGCUUACCAGAUGUGUUACUGGUUGUAGUAGUUACAUGAGCAGCAGUUACAGAACCAGCAUGGUUGUUUGUACCAGCAGUAGCAGUUGCAGGUGCAUUUGAGUGUUGUGCAUUUGAAGCUUGUGCAUUUGAAGCCUCAGGGUGUUGAAUAUCAGUAUUAUCCUACAAUAUCACAAAGUGUGUUAUAUAUCAGAUCAUGUGUUAUCUAUCAGAAAGUGUUAUAACAACAGAAACUGUGUUAUUAACUUGUUCCCUCCAGGUUUAAUUGACCUAUCAGUAGCUGUUUUACCCUUACAAGUCCUCAUGUUAUGUCCAAGUUCCUUACAUCUUGUGAACCUCACAGUGUCCUGAUUUCUCUUUCCCUUCUUGCUAGUUGUUGACUUAGGCUCAUCAUUAUCCUUCCUUCUAAGCUUCUUUGGCCUCCCAGGUGCCCUUCUGACUGGAGGUGGCAGUAUUGGUGGAAGGUUCACUUCUGGCCAUAUCUUUCGUCCAUUUGAAGGCAUGAUAAAAUUAUCAUAUGUAUCCAAGAAAGUUUGCUUCCUGUCAUGUGAAACCAACCAAAUUAUACUUAAUUAACCACUUAAAUUAAGAAUACAUAAAGCAUAUAAAAUCACAACUCACCUAUACCAAUGUGCCACAUAUUCAUCUGGGUUUUGGCUAUCGUAGUAGAUUACUGCAACAACAUGUGGGCAAGGAAUACCACUUAAUUCCCACCUUCUACAUGAACAGGUCCUCUCUUUGACAUUAAUCACAUACAUAUCACUUCCAUCAGAAGCACUAAAGUGAGCAUAUUCUCUAUCACCAUGCCAAGUUGGUGACCAAUUAUUUGCAUCCUUCUUAGCCUUGUCAAAUAUCUUUUUGAUCAUUGGACAAAUAUCACCAGAAUACCUCAACAUGUAAUCCCUUAAUCUAACUAUCAUAUUAGUUAUAUAAAACUUUAGUCCCUCAAUAAGUGAAAUAACUGGUUGCUAUCUUAACUCAAUGAUUGAAGAGUUAAAUGCCUCACACAUGUUAUUGACUUGUAAGUCAGAACAUGUGUGAGUCUUGUAUCAUGCCCUACUCCACAUACCUGGUGGAUAUUGUUUCAUCUCAUCCCAAGCUACCUCACUAAAACUUUUCAGUUUGUCCAUAGCCCUGUUAAAAUCAGGCAUAGUAUUUGCCCUAGCUGCAGCCCACAAAGCUUCUUUUAAGCGCUCACCAGGAUGUCUUUUCCUAAAAUUCCCAAACAAAUGUCUCACACACAGUCUGUGCUCAACAUUAUCACCAAUAGAAGCUAUUGUAUUCACCAAACCCUUCAUCAUUACAAACAAUACAAAAUUAAUCUACAUAAUAUUAAGAUAAGAGCAUAAAAAUAAGUAAAUAGUUAGAAAAUUACAUUCUGCUGAUCUGAUAUGAAAGACCAUCUUUUGCAUUGAAUGCCAUUCAAAUCUGAAAGCAGUAGUUCAAUAAACCAGUCCCAACUCUCUUUGGUUUCAGCUUCCACAAUAGCAAAUGCUAUGGGGAUCAUUUGAUUGUUACCAUCUUUCCCAAUUGCUGAUAGUAACUUUCCACCAUACCUCCCUUUCAGAAAACAACCAUCCAACCCUAUCAAAGGUCUGCAUCUUUGGACAAAGGCCCUCUUGCAAGCAGCAAAACAAACAUAUAUUCUCUGAAAUGCAAAACCCCUAGUUGUCUCUUUACAUUUAAUCUUCAUAGAACUCCCAUGAUUACUUCUUAAAAGCUCUUCUGCAUAGUUUCUAAGAUGAGCAUAUUGCUCUUCACUAGCCCCAUGUAUCAUCUCUAAAGCCUUCAAUUUUGCCAUAUACAUCUGAAAUCUAGUAAGAAUCACAUACCAGUUACGCUUACACAAAUCUUGUAGUGCCUUAAUGGUCAUAUCAGGUGUGUGUCUCAAGGUUGGUACCAGCUUCUUAGCCAGCAACUUUGUUCUUAACAGUCUUACUCUACCAGUAUUAGUGCAUGUAUGUGCUGAAUUAUAACUAGACAACACAUAAAAAGUUUGAGGUGGAACCCUACUGAAUCUCAUGUGAUACGGACAUCCAUCACUACACUUCACAAUAAUUAUCAUUUUCUCACUUUUCUUCAAGUGAACAUUCUUCUUGUUCUGUAGAGCAUAUUCUUUCACAACAUUUUUGAUUAACAAAGUAGUUGCAAAAAUCUGUCCCUCUUCAAAUAUCACAGUCUCAUCAUUUCCAAGAAACUUAAACCUAUUGUAUUUCUUCUUUUUCCUUUCAAUACCAUCAUCCUCACUUGAUUCACAACUUUCUAGAAAAUCAGAGUCUCCAUUCUCAUCUUCAAAAUCUAGCUCAGUUGCGGCCUUAGUGUUCCUUGAUGCUUCAACACCAACAAUAGCCUGACAACAGUUGGAUGACUGAGCAACAGGAGUUGGGUUCAAAGCUUGUUUAGGCAGCACAAAAGUCCAGUCCCAUUCUUCAUCAAAAUCACUGUCAUCAAUUGGCACCCCAUCAACACUUCCAAUUUCAGCUUCAGACUCAUGCUCAUCACCCUCAUCAUCCCCAUCACCAACAUACUCAGGAUCAGAUUCUUCUUCCUCUUCAAGUUCAGCUGGUUCUUUCCCUUUAUCUAACACAGCAACUUCUUCCUCAUCACUCACAUACCUACUAUCAAGUCCUUCAAAAUCCUUAUCAGCUUCCACAUAAAAAUCAGCAACUCCAUGAUUUAUAUGAUCAUUUAUGAAUCUAAUGACAUCCCUAUCAGUUUUCAACGGCCUAAGACCAUCACUCAACUCCCAACCUGGACUGACAUAAAACAACUUAUACUCACCUUCCACACCAACCUCUCUCACUAGUUUGUCCAAAUCUUUGAGGUUUGUCUCAUCUAUGUCUAACUCACCACCAAAUUCAUAUACUUCACCCUUCUUGUAAGCUAUAAUAGGGUCAGAAAUGAAAUAACCUUUGUGGUGAAACCUUAUCUUCAAUGAAUGGUCCUCAACAACCUUACAAAGAUUGAUUAAAUAUCAUUUAAUAUUUAAUUCAUAGUGUAUUACAACUGUAUGAAUACUGUAUUUUUAUACCGUAUUUAUUCUGUAUGAAUACUGUAUUUUCAUAUGAUAUUUAUACCCAUACUCCUUUCAUAGCAAUGUAAACCAAAAAAGCAGUAUAAAAUUAUCAUUUUCCAGUUUUCAACUGUGCAUAAUUAAAUACAGUAUUCAAUACUUCCAACAACCCUUUUUUUAUUCAGAAAUAAUGUAACAUGAGCUUUGCUUUAUAGUUAAACAGAUAUAUGAAACAAAAAAAAAUGCUUACUUUGAAGCAUCCAUGUCGGGAAUCUGUCCAGAGAACACGUUUUCUUGAGUUGAUAGAACUUCCAUAUUCGAAUCUUUCGUCUUCUCUGAACCUUUAGUCGCCAUCGCAUCGUUCUUCUU
This 3526-nucleotide long non-coding RNA is filed under the name Medicago truncatula (barrel medic). RNAcentral describes it as "long non-coding RNA (MTRU_LNC001187)". The record is from RNAcentral. Lineage: Eukaryota; Viridiplantae; Streptophyta; Magnoliopsida; Fabales; Fabaceae.